RNAcentral lists this ribosomal RNA (870 nucleotides) under uncultured bacterium. Its description in RNAcentral is "bacterial SSU rRNA". It matches the Rfam family "Bacterial small subunit ribosomal RNA", at positions 525 to 1397 of the family's 1533-position model. The record is from RNAcentral.
ACGGAGGAUGCGAGCGUUAUCCGGAUUUAUUGGGUUUAAAGGGUGCGUAGGCGGAUUGAUAAGUCAGUGGUGAAAACCCUGCAGCUUAACUGUAGACUUGCCGUUGAUACUGUCAGUCUUGAGUAUGGUCAAGGUAGGCGGAAUGUGUAAUGUAGCGGUGAAAUGCUUAGAUAUUACACAGAACACCGAUUGCGAAGGCAGCUUACUGGGCCAUUACUGACGCUGAUGCACGAAAGCGUGGGGAUCGAACAGGAUUAGAUACCCUGGUAGUCCACGCCGUAAACGAUGAUCACUCGCUGUUAGCGAUACACAGUUAGCGGCUAAGCAAAAGCAUUAAGUGAUCCACCUGGGGAGUACGGCCGCAAGGCUGAAACUCAAAGGAAUUGACGGGGGCCCGCACAAGCGGAGGAACAUGUGGUUUAAUUCGAUGAUACGCGAGGAACCUUACCUGGGCUUAAAUGUAGAGUGCAUUCAGCUGAAAGGCUGAUUUCCUUCGGGACUCUCUGCAAGGUGCUGCAUGGUUGUCGUCAGCUCGUGCCGUGAGGUGUCGGGUUAAGUCCCAUAACGAGCGCAACCCUUAUCGUUAGUUGCCAGCGGGUAAUGCCGGGAACUCUAACGAAACUGCCGGUGUAAACCGAGAGGAAGGUGGGGAUGACGUCAAAUCAGCACGGCCCUUAUGUCCAGGGCUACACACGUGUUACAAUGGCCGGUACAGAGGGCAGCUAUGCCGCGAGGCAAUGCGAAUCUCGAAAGCCGGUCUCAGUUCGGAUCGGAGUCUGCAACUCGACUCCGUGAAGCUGGAUUCGCUAGUAAUCGCGCAUCAGCCAUGGCGCGGUGAAUACGUUCCCGGGCCUUGCACACACCGCCCGU